AAGAAAAAAAAAAAAAAGAGAAAAAGCAAUAUAAAAGAGGGAGCAGAGCACUGGGUUAAGGAAUGAGAUGUCUGGUUUCUCCUCCAAACUCUGCCAGUGUGACCUUGCACAGCCCCUUCUCCGUGUUUCAGCAACCACCACCAUAAAAUGA
RNAcentral lists this long non-coding RNA (151 nucleotides) under Cyanistes caeruleus (blue tit). RNAcentral's name for it is "lncRNA (ENSCCEG00000005742.1)". The record is from RNAcentral. Lineage: Eukaryota; Metazoa; Chordata; Aves; Passeriformes; Paridae.